CAGUCGCCGCGGGAAUACGAAGGGUGCAAGCGUUAAUCGGAAUUACUGGGCGUAAAGCGUGCGUAGGCGGUUUGUUAAGUCUGUUGUGAAAUCCCCGGGCUCAACCUGGGAACUGCGCUUGUGACUGCAAGCUAGAGUGUGUCAGAGGAUGGUGGAAUUCCCGGUGUAGCGGUGAAACGCGUAGAGAUCGGGAGGAACAUCAGUGGCGAAGGCGGCCAUCUGGGACAACACUGACGCUGAGGCACGAAAGCGUGGGGAGCAAACAGGAUUAGAUACCCGCGUAGUCCCUGUCUCUUAUACA
This 301-nucleotide ribosomal RNA is filed under the name uncultured bacterium. Its description in RNAcentral is "partial 16S ribosomal RNA". It matches the Rfam family "Bacterial small subunit ribosomal RNA", at positions 509 to 808 of the family's 1533-position model. The record is from RNAcentral.